This 107-nucleotide small nuclear RNA is filed under the name Sus scrofa (pig). Lineage: Eukaryota; Metazoa; Chordata; Mammalia; Artiodactyla; Suidae. The record is from RNAcentral.
NUGCUCGCUUUGGCAGCACAUAUAUUAAAAUUGGAAUGAUACAGAUAAGAUUAGCAUGGCCUCUGCACAAAGAUGACACAUAAAUUUGUGAAACAUUCCAUAUUUUU